Molecule: ribosomal RNA, 80 nt
Filed under: Rossellomorea aquimaris
Lineage: Bacteria; Bacillati; Bacillota; Bacilli; Caryophanales; Bacillaceae
Description: Bacillus aquimaris partial 16S ribosomal RNA
Rfam family: Bacterial small subunit ribosomal RNA
Source: RNAcentral
UUUUAUCGGAGAGUUUGAUCCUGGCUCAGGACGAACGCUGGCGGCGUGCCUAAUACAUGCAAGUCGAGCGGACUGAUGGG